This 329-nucleotide unclassified non-coding RNA is filed under the name soil metagenome. RNAcentral's name for it is "partial contains 5.8S ribosomal RNA, internal transcribed spacer 2, and large subunit ribosomal RNA". The stretch from base 1 to 120 matches the Rfam family "5.8S ribosomal RNA", at positions 35 to 154 of the family's 154-position model. The record is from RNAcentral.
GAUGAAGAACGUAGCGAAAUGCUAUAAGUAAUGUGAAUUGCAGAAUUCAGUGAAUCAUCGAAUCUUUGAACGCACAUUGCGCCCCUUGGUAUUCCGAGGGGCAUGCCUGUUCGAGCGUCAUUAUAACCCCUCAAGCUCAGCUUGGUGUUGGGGCCUGCUGCACUGGCAGCCCUUAAAAUCAGUGGCGGCGCCAUCUGGCUCUAAGCGUAGUAAUUCUUCUCGCUAUGGAGUCCUGGUGGAUGCUUGCCAUCAACCCCCAAUUUUUCUAUGGUUGACCUCGGAUCAGGUAGGGAUACCCGCUGAACUUAAGCAUAUCAAUAAGCGGAGGA